AUUGAACGCUGGCGGAAUGCUUUACACAUGCAAGUCGAACGGCAGCACGGACUUCGGUCUGGUGGCGAGUGGCGAACGGGUGAGUAAUGUAUCGGAACGUGCCCAGUCGUGGGGGAUAACGUAGUGAAAAUUACGCUAAUACCGCAUACGAUCUAUGGAUGAAAGCGGGGGAUCGCAAGACCUCGCGCGAUUGGAGCGGCCGAUAUCAGAUUAGGUAGUUGGUGGGGUAAAGGCCCACCAAGCCAACGAUCUGUAGCUGGUCUGAGAGGACGACCAGCCACACGGGAACUGAGACAAGGUCCAGACUCCUACGGGAGGCAGCAGUGGGGAAUUUUGGACAAUGGGCGAAAGCCUGAUCCAGCCAUUCCGCGUGCAGGAUGAAGGCCCUCGGGUUGUAAACUGCUUUUGUACAGAACGAAAAGGUUUCUACUAAUACUAGGAGCUCAUGACGGUACUGUAAGAAUAAGCACCUGCUAACUACGUGCCAGCAGCCGCCGUAA
This 500-nucleotide ribosomal RNA is filed under the name uncultured bacterium. Its description in RNAcentral is "partial 16S ribosomal RNA". It matches the Rfam family "Bacterial small subunit ribosomal RNA", at positions 30 to 523 of the family's 1533-position model. The record is from RNAcentral.